GAUGAACGCUGGCGGCGUGCCUAAUACAUGCAAGUCGAGCGAACAGACGAGGAGCUUGCUCCUCUGACGUUAGCGGCGGACGGGUGAGUAACACGUGGAUAACCUACCUAUAAGACUGGGAUAACUUCGGGAAACCGGAGCUAAUACCGGAUAAUAUAUUGAACCGCAUGGUUCAAUAGUGAGAGACGGUUUUGCUGUCACUUAUAGAUGGAUCCGCGCCGCAUUAGCUAGUUGGUAAGGUAACGGCUUACCAAGGCAACGAUGCGUAGCCGACCUGAGAGGGGGAUCGGCCACACUGGAACUGAGACACGGUCCAGACUCCUACGGGAGGCAGCAGUAGGGAAUCUUCCGCAAUGGGCGAAAGCCUGACGGAGCAACGCCGCGUGAGUGAUGAAGGUCUUCGGAUCGUAAAACUCUGUUAUUAGGGAAGAACAAAUGUGUAAGUAACUAUGCACGUCUUGACGGUACCUAAUCAGAAAGCCACGGCUAACUACGUG
This 497-nucleotide ribosomal RNA is filed under the name uncultured bacterium. RNAcentral's name for it is "partial 16S ribosomal RNA". It matches the Rfam family "Bacterial small subunit ribosomal RNA", at positions 28 to 507 of the family's 1533-position model. The record is from RNAcentral.